Molecule: long non-coding RNA, 1655 nt
Filed under: Fragaria vesca (wild strawberry)
Lineage: Eukaryota; Viridiplantae; Streptophyta; Magnoliopsida; Rosales; Rosaceae
Description: long non-coding RNA (FVES_LNC004553)
Source: RNAcentral
GGACAAAAAUAAAUUAAUAAAAAUAUUUAUGCUUCCCCAUUUUAAUUUCCAAAGAAAAUAUACUGCAUGCGGCAGCUCAAAAGCGCUCAAUACAAAAACUGGAAAUUUCAUGACUAGCUCCGACUAGUCUCCAUAACUCAAAGAAAUACAGCCUCUCAGGCUAAACUAUAUAUAAACAUAUAUAAGUGUAUGUAUUUACACUCGUCAAACUCCUUGUAUGAAUUCUAAGAACAAAUUAGAAAAAUAGAAAUUCAUACAAGGCUACUACGCUUGCGUCUAACGCUCACGUCACACCAUAAUGGAAUUGUACCUCAGUAUGGCGGAAAAAACACGAGUGUAUAUACGUGUGGACUCCCUAUAUGAAAACCUAAAUAAACCAAAUAAGAAAAUAGUUUUCAUAUAAGGCUACUACGCUUGUGUCUAACACUCACGUCACGCCAUAAUGACAUUUUACCUCAUUAUGACGGAUCAAACACGUAUGGCUAGCUAGCAUUUAUAUAUACAUACUAUACUCACAUAAAAAUCCAACAAAUAUAUCCACCGAAAAUCUCAUUUCCGGGAACUCUCCAAAGGAGGAAAAUUGCCAAAUAUCCGAGAAAUCAGAAAGUCUCAUCAGAAGAAAAUAAAUAAUCAACAAAUUAUUUCAUCGCAUGCUUUUCAAUUAAAACAAAGGUCCACUCACAACUCUAGGCAUAAGCCCGACGAAAUCCAAAUCGCCACUCCAAUGAGGUUUCCUCAAACCCUGUCACAAAUAUAUAAUUAAAUUCCAAACUAAAAUCCAAUAUUUAAACAAAAUAGGCAAAAUUAAAUAUGAGCCGCAACCACGUACGCUCAUCCUUGCCCAACUUCGCCUUUCCUAAAACGAAACGAUCCAACUUUAAUACCAUAAAUGGCAGCCGUAAUUACAACCUCCCCAGAACAACGACUUAAAUCCUACGGCCGGAUUCUACAUUAAUUAACCGCCAAAAAUACCAAACUUCGGAAAAUCACAAACCUAUUCAAAACUCAUCCGAAAAUUUCAUAAUUUACAUCAAUACACUCCUCUUAAUAUUCCACAUUUAAAAACAUUAAAAUCUCCCAACAGGCGGCGCCGGCAGCGGCGGCCGGAGGCCGAUUCCGGCGACCUCCAAUGCCCACCAAAUUUUAACAGCAUCUUCCUCUCAACUCCCUCUACAACAUUCCUAACUAGCACAAACACCAAUUCCAAGCCUAACUAGGUCAAUCGAGCAAAACAACGCAAAAAGCCCUAAAGCUUCCACCUCAAAUUUCUCCUUACCUAAAGCGAACCGGAGUGAGUCCUUUUAGGGCAAGGUAGCUGGGUUGGAGACCUACAAAACCGUACCAAUCUUGCCCGGAUUGGUGGCCGGAGGAGGGAGUUCCGGCGAGUGAAGCAACACGGCAGUCGCACCUUUCGGGGGAGAGCGCUCCUUCACGGCGGCGCUAGGGCGGCUAUCACCGGCCUAGAAUGGAAGCUGGGUCGGAGGGCAACUGAACGGGACCGGUGCGGCAGUCCCAGGCGGCCGGACGACGGCGGACGAGCGGCCGGAAUGUUGGGCAGCGGGUGGACUCAGGGGAGAGGAAAACCGGGAAGAAAAAGAGAGAAGAGAAGAGUGGGUUUUGGGCCUCCACCCAAACCGGUCCAAGACUAUAAUAUA